CUUGGUCAUUUAGAGGAAGUAAAAGUCGUAACAAGGUCUCCGUUGGUGAACCAGCGGAGGGAUCAUUAAAGAGUUUAUUAACUCCCAAACCCAUGUGAACAUACCAUACGUUGCCUCGGCAGGCUACAUCUGCUCUAUUAGGGUGAUGUGUAACCAGCCUGCCGGCGGUCCAUUAACUCUGUUUAUUUUUGAAUUCUGAGGUUAUAUAAAAUAAGUUAAAACUUUCAACAACGGAUCUCUUGGUUCUGGCAUCGAUGAAGAACGCAGCGAAAUGCGAUAAGUAAUGUGAAUUGCAGAAUUUAGUGAAUCAUCGAAUCUUUGAACGCACAUUGCGCCCAUUAGUAUUCUAGUGGGCAUGCCUGUUCGAGCGUCAUUUCAACCCUUAAGCCUUUGUUGCUUAGCGUUGGGAGCCUACGGUAGCGUAGCUCCUCAAAAUCAGUGGCGGAGUCGGUUCACACUCUAGACGUAGUACAUUUUAUCUCGUCUGUGAGUUGGGCUGGUCCCCUGCCGUAAAACCCCUAAUUUUUAAAGGUUGACCUCGGAUCAGGUAGGAAUACCCGCUGAACUUAAGCAUAUCAAUAAGCGGAGGA
Molecule: ribosomal RNA, 590 nt
Filed under: Xylaria schweinitzii
Lineage: Eukaryota; Fungi; Ascomycota; Sordariomycetes; Xylariales; Xylariaceae
Also listed under: 1 other name
Description: eukaryotic LSU rRNA
Rfam family: 5.8S ribosomal RNA (bases 220-373)
Source: RNAcentral